UUCCGGUUGAUCCCGCCGGACCUGACUGCUAUCGGAUUGAUACUAAGCCAUGCGAGUCUUUGCAGUAAUGCAAGGCAUACGGCUCAGUAACACGUAGUCAACUUACCCUAUGGACGAGGAUAAUCUCGGGAAACUGAGCAUAAUACUCGAUAGAUCAUAAUGCCUGGAAUGGUUUAUGGUUGAAAUGAUUCGUCGCCAUAGGAUGGGACUGCGGCCUAUCAGCUUGUUGGUGAGGUAAUGGCCCACCAAGGCGAUUACAGGUACGGGCUCUGAGAGGAGAAGCCCGGAGAUGGGUACUGAGACAAGGACCCAGGCCCUAUGGGGCGCAGCAGGCGAGAAAACUUUGCAAUGUGCGAAAGCACGACAAGGUUAAUCCGAGUGAUUUCUGCUAAAGAAAUCUUUUGCAAGUCAUAAAACCACUAGUGAAUAAGGGGUGGGCAAGUUCUGGUGUCAGCCGCCGCGGUAAAACCAGCACCUCAAGUGGUCAGGAGGAUUAUUGGGCCUAAAGCAUCCGUAGCCGGCUCUGUAAGUUUUCGGUUAAAUCCAUGUGCUCAACGCAUGGGCUGCCGAAAAUACUGCAUAGCUAGGGAGUGGGAGAGGUAGACGGUACUCGGUAGGAAGGGGUAAAAUCCUUUGAUCUAUCGAUGACCACCUGUGGCGAAGGCGGUCUACCAGAACACGUUCGACGGUGAGGGAUGAAAGCUGGGGGAGCAAACCGGAUUAGAUACCCGGGUAGUCCCAGCUGUAAACGAUGCAGACUCGAUGAUGCAUUGGCAUAUAGCCAGUGCAGUGUCGCAGGGAAGCCGUUAAGUCUGCCGCCUGGGAAGUACGUACGCAAGUAUGAAACUUAAAGGAAUUGGCGGGGGAGCACCACAAGGGGUGAAGCCUGCGGUUCAAUUGGAUUCAACGCCGG
Molecule: ribosomal RNA, 913 nt
Filed under: uncultured marine archaeon
Lineage: Archaea
Description: bacterial SSU rRNA
Rfam family: Archaeal small subunit ribosomal RNA
Source: RNAcentral